AUCAUAUCUGAAACGACUCUCGGCAACGGAUAUCUCGGCUCUCGCAUCGAUGAAGAACGUAGCGAAAUGCSAUACUUGGUGUGAAUUGCAGAAUCCCGUGAACCAUCGAGUUUUUGAACGCAAGUUGCGCCCGAAGCCGUCAGGCCGAGGGCACGUGYGCC
RNAcentral lists this ribosomal RNA (161 nucleotides) under Lauridia tetragona. Its description in RNAcentral is "5.8S ribosomal RNA". It matches the Rfam family "5.8S ribosomal RNA". Rfam says of the family: 5.8S ribosomal RNA (5.8S rRNA) is a component of the large subunit of the eukaryotic ribosome. It is transcribed by RNA polymerase I as part of the 45S precursor that also contains 18S and 28S rRNA. The record is from RNAcentral. Lineage: Eukaryota; Viridiplantae; Streptophyta; Magnoliopsida; Celastrales; Celastraceae.